GAGAGCCGUGUUAUGGGUGACCUUAUUGCACGGUUCAGAGAGCACUUGUGUAUGUGAUGCAAGUGAACGUGUACGAAAUAAGCUGUAUCUAGGGUGAGUUCUUCAUUCCGU
Lupinus angustifolius (narrow-leaved blue lupine) is the source of this 111-nucleotide non-coding RNA. The record is from Rfam. NCBI's taxonomy places the organism in Eukaryota, Viridiplantae, Streptophyta, Magnoliopsida, Fabales, Fabaceae.